GCCUCCGUGGCCUAAUGGAUAAGGCAUCGGCCUCCUACACACUCAUGAUAAUAUGGUGCGCUAGCCGGGGAUUGCGGGUUCGAGUCCCGUCGGAGGUG
RNAcentral lists this transfer RNA (98 nucleotides) under Pomacea canaliculata. It matches the Rfam family "tRNA". Rfam says of the family: Transfer RNA (tRNA) molecules are approximately 80 nucleotides in length. Lineage: Eukaryota; Metazoa; Mollusca; Gastropoda; Architaenioglossa; Ampullariidae. The record is from Rfam by way of RNAcentral.